AAUAUUAAAGAGCUUUGUUAAACUUAGACUUAAGUUUAGGUCAUUUUGGGGGUUUAGCUCAGUUGGCUAGAGCAUCGGCUUUGCAAGCCGAGGGUCAAGGGUUCGAGUCCCUUAACCUCCAUUGGGCUUAUGUCCUAAAUCGUAAUUAAGUAUGUUUUUAAGUAACUUUGUUAAAGUAAUUGUUGGAAUGUGAAACAGAGGAAGUUAAAAUUUCUGGGUUAAGUUGAGAUCUGUUGAUAUUAAGAAGAAUCUCUAGAAGCAAAAGCAAGCUUUCGAUAAAACCCGAAGUUGUUUCGCUAAAGUGCAAGGAUUAAACAGGAUUGUAUUUUCCAGUAGCCUAUUUUAUAAACGAUCUGCAUUUAGUAAAUAGUUUUUAGUUAAGAAAUAAUGUAGAUUGCUAAGUGUGAUGCCUGAAAGAAGGACAAGUAUUGUAGCGAGCCUAAAUCCUUGUUAUCGUUGCCAGUAUUUAGUGGUAGGGAUUCGGAUAAGACUGCCAUUUAUAAGUUGGAGGAAGGCAAAGAUUGCAUUAAAUCGUUAUCGCUCUUAUGUUUUAGGUUACAAGUUUGCCACAAUAACCCAAAAAAGCUAAGCAAAAUGCUAUAAAGCAGAUUUCAGUUUGGAUUUGCCCGACACUCAAUGGCAUGAAGUUGUAAUUGUUAGUAAUCGUAUAUACCUUAAUAUAGAAAUUGAAUAAAUUUUUGUUUUUUUAAUUAUAGCUUAAAACAGUAUUGUCGUAAUUAAA
Molecule: transfer RNA, 742 nt
Filed under: Borreliella burgdorferi (Lyme disease spirochete)
Lineage: Bacteria; Pseudomonadati; Spirochaetota; Spirochaetia; Spirochaetales; Borreliaceae
Description: partial 16S-23S ribosomal RNA intergenic spacer
Rfam family: tRNA (bases 48-121)
Source: RNAcentral